CCCAUGGAAGGAGGCUCCAGCCUCAGCAAACAAUAGAGUUUUUUUUACUUCCUUGCCAUUUCUCAUAUUCUCACUUUCUAUGUGUUGAGUCACUUGCCCAGAACCACUCAAAUUCCCAGGGGUUUUAUCAAUCUCCAAUUCAAACAAGCAUCAGAGGUAUAUACUUCUUUGUUUUGAAGCAAAGGUGUAUUGUAUACAGAGACUCUAAAGGUGGAGAAGCCGACUAAUAUAAUACUUCAGCUGAGUUUGGAAGUGGGACAGAAACCGUU
This 269-nucleotide long non-coding RNA is filed under the name Struthio camelus australis. RNAcentral describes it as "lncRNA (ENSSCUG00000015748.1)". Lineage: Eukaryota; Metazoa; Chordata; Aves; Struthioniformes; Struthionidae. The record is from RNAcentral.